ACGUAGGUCACAAGCGUUGUCCGGAAUUACUGGGUGUAAAGGGGGCGCAGGCGGGACAACAAGUUGGAAGUGAAAUCCAUGGGCUCAACCCAUGAACUGCUUUCAAAACUGUUUUUCUUGAGUAGUGCAGAGGUAGGCGGAAUUCCCGGUGUAGCGGUGGAAUGCGUAGAUAUCGGGAGGAACACCAGUGGCGAAGGCGGCCUACUGGGCACCAACUGACGCUGAGGCUCGAAAGUGUGGGUAGCAAACAG
This 251-nucleotide ribosomal RNA is filed under the name uncultured bacterium. RNAcentral's name for it is "partial 16S ribosomal RNA". It matches the Rfam family "Bacterial small subunit ribosomal RNA", at positions 525 to 775 of the family's 1533-position model. The record is from RNAcentral.